Molecule: long non-coding RNA, 628 nt
Organism: Cyprinus carpio (common carp)
Lineage: Eukaryota; Metazoa; Chordata; Actinopteri; Cypriniformes; Cyprinidae
Source: Ensembl
CAAGAUGACUUCAUACACGUGGAUUUUACUCAUUCUGGCAAGUCUUGUGGCAACAAAAGCGCAAGAUUUUGACCUCAGUGAUGCUUUUUAUGAGGCUGACAAGCCCCCUCCGAAGCCAACAGUGAAACCAGCCCCACCGAAAAACCCAGAUUCAGGAUUUGAUAUUUCAGAUGCCUUCAAUUUGGAUAAAAAUAAACCAUCUGGAGUUGACCUCGAUCUGUCUAUUGCAUUUGCUCCAGAUUUGGACCUCACUGAUGUUUUGGAUGAUACUGACAAGCAUAAAAAUAAACCAUCUGGAGUUGACCUCGAUCGGUCUAUUGCAUUUGAUACAGAUUUGGACCUCGCUGAUGUUUUGGAUGGUGCUGACAAGCAGGGUAGGGGAGCACAGGGUGGUGAGGAGACUCUCAGCGCAGAGUCUGCAGCGGCUAUGGAGUGUCAGAAGGUCCACAGCAUGAGUGCACCCCGACCGCAUGGCACGGGUGGAAGUGGCCACGUGCUGACUGAGGGUGUCCUUCAGACACAGAGAGAUACAACUGAUGCAAUUACAGUCAUAGCAGAUGAGCUUAAGCAAAUAAAGGUUGUGUUGUGUGACAUUGCAUCUACAUUAAAAGAUCUUGUUAAAAAAUGA